AGAAAAAUAAGCUAUAUUAAGCUAAUGGGCCCAUACCUCAUAUAAGAGAUUUCUCUUUUUCUA
Molecule: transfer RNA, 63 nt
Filed under: Bathynella cf. rufa JHS-2017
Lineage: Eukaryota; Metazoa; Arthropoda; Malacostraca; Bathynellacea; Bathynellidae
Description: tRNA-Met
Source: RNAcentral